Molecule: ribosomal RNA, 643 nt
Filed under: uncultured bacterium
Lineage: Bacteria
Description: bacterial SSU rRNA
Rfam family: Bacterial small subunit ribosomal RNA
Source: RNAcentral
GAGUAAAGCAGCGAUGCGCUUAGGGAUGGGCCUGCGGCGGAUUAGGUAGUUGGUGGGGUAACGGCCUACCAAGCCGAUGAUCCGUAGGGGGCGUGAGAGCGUGGCCCCCCACACUGGCACUGAGACACGGGCCAGACUCCUACGGGAGGCAGCAGUGAGGAAUAUUGCACAAUGGGCGCAAGCCUGAUGCAGCAACGCCGCGUGAGGGACGAAGGCCUUCGGGUUGUAAACCUCUUUUCUGAGGGACGAGGAAGGACGGUACCUCAGGAAUAAGUCUCGGCUAACUACGUGCCAGCAGCCGCGGUAAAACGUAGGAGGCGAGCGUUAUCCGGAUUUACUGGGCGUAAAGCGCGCGCAGGUGGCUUCGUGAGUCGGACAUGAAAGCUCCUGGCUUAACUGGGAGAGGCUGUUCGAUACUGCGGGGCUUGAGGUUGGGAGAGGGACGCGGAAUUCCCGGUGUAGUGGUGGAAUGCGUAGAUAUCGGGAGGAACACCAGUGGCGCAAGCGGCGUCCUGGCCCACACCUGACGCUGAGGUGCGAAAGCGUGGGUAGCAAACAGGAUUAGAUACCCUGGUAGUCCACGCUGUAAACGAUGUCAACUGGGUGUCGGUAGUUUUACACUAUCGGUGCCGAAGCUAACGCG